RNAcentral lists this ribosomal RNA (597 nucleotides) under uncultured bacterium. RNAcentral describes it as "bacterial SSU rRNA". It matches the Rfam family "Bacterial small subunit ribosomal RNA", at positions 49 to 642 of the family's 1533-position model. The record is from RNAcentral.
CUACACAUGCAGUCGAGCGGUAGAGAGAAGCUUGCUUCUCUUGAGAGCGGCGGACGGGUGAGUAAUGCCUAGGAAUCUGCCUGGUAGUGGGGGAUAACGUUCGGAAACGGACGCUAAUACCGCAUACGUCCUACGGGAGAAAGCAGGGGACCUUCGGGCCUUGCGCUAUCAGAUGAGCCUAGGUCGGAUUAGCUAGUUGGUGGGGUAAUGGCUCACCAAGGCGACGAUCCGUAACUGGUCUGAGAGGAUGAUCAGUCACACUGGAACUGAGACACGGUCCAGACUCCUACGGGAGGCAGCAGUGGGGAAUAUUGGACAAUGGGCGAAAGCCUGAUCCAGCCAUGCCGCGUGUGUGAAGAAGGUCUUCGGAUUGUAAAGCACUUUAAGUUGGGAGGAAGGGCAGUAAAUUAAUACUUUGCUGUUUUGACGUUACCGACAGAAUAAGCACCGGCUAACUCUGUGCCAGCAGCCGCGGUAAUACAGAGGGUGCAAGCGUUAAUCGGAAUUACUGGGCGUAAAGCGCGCGUAGGUGGUUAGUUAAGUUGGAUGUGAGAUCCCCGGGCUCAACCUGGGAACUGCAUUCGAAACUGACUGACU